GGGUUGUGAGGUUAAGCGACUAAGCGUACACGGUGGAUGCCCUGGCAGUCAGAGGCGAUGAAGGGCGUACUAAUCUGCGAUAAGCGCCGGUAAGGUGAUAUGAACCGUUAUAACCGGCGAUACCCGAAUGGGGAAACCCAGUGUGAUUCGUCACACUAUCAUUAACUGAAUCCAUAGGUUAAUGAGGCGAACCGGGGGAACUGAAACAUCUAAGUACCCCGAGGAAAAGAAAUCAACCGAGAUUCCCCCAGUAGCGGCGAGCGAACGGGGAGGAGCCCAGAGCCUGAAUCAGCAUGUGUGUUAGUGGAAGCGUCUGGAAAGGCGCGCGAUACAGGGUGACAGCCCCGUACACAAAAGCGCAUGUGCUGUGAGCUCGAUGAGUAGGGCGGGACACGUGGUAUCCUGUCUGAAUAUGGGGGGACCAUCCUCCAAGGCUAAAUACUCCUGACUGACCGAUAGUGAACCAGUACCGUGAGGGAAAGGCGAAAAGAACCCCGGCGAGGGGAGUGAAAAAGAACCUGAAACCGUGUACGUACAAGCAGUGGGAGCACCCUUUGGGUGUGACUGCGUACCUUUUGUAUAAUGGGUCAGCGACUUAUAUUCUGUAGCAAGGUUAACCGAAUAGGGGAGCCGGAGGGAAACCGAGUCUUAACCGGGCGUUAAGUUGCAGGGUAUAGACCCGAAACCCGGUGAUCUAGCCAUGGGCAGGUUGAAGGUUGGGUAACACUAACUGGAGGACCGAACCGACUAAUGUUGAAAAAUUAGCGGAUGACCUGUGGCUGGGGGUGAAAGGCCAAUCAAACCGGGAGAUAGCUGGUUCUCCCCGAAAGCUAUUUAGGUAGCGCCUCGUGAAUUCAUCUCCGGGGGUAGAGCACUGUUUCGGCUAGGGGGCCAUCCCGGCUUACCAACCCGAUGCAAACUGCGAAUACCGGAGAAUGUUAUCACGGGAGACACACGGCGGGUGCUAACGUCCGUCGUGAAGAGGGAAACAACCCAGACCGCCAGCUAAGGUCCCAAAGUCAUGGUUAAGUGGGAAACGAUGUGGGAAGGCCCAGACAGCCAGGAUGUUGGCUUAGAAGCAGCCAUCAUUUAAAGAAAGCGUAAUAGCUCACUGGUCGAGUCGGCCUGCGCGGAAGAUGUAACGGGGCUAAACCAUGCACCGAAGCUGCGGCAGCGACACUGUGUGUUGUUGGGUAGGGGAGCGUUCUGUAAGCCUGUGAAGGUGUGUCGUGAGGCAUGCUGGAGGUAUCAGAAGUGCGAAUGCUGACAUAAGUAACGAUAAAGCGGGUGAAAAGCCCGCUCGCCGGAAGACCAAGGGUUCCUGUCCAACGUUAAUCGGGGCAGGGUGAGUCGACCCCUAAGGCGAGGCCGAAAGGCGUAGUCGAUGGGAAACGGGUUAAUAUUCCCGUACUUGGUGUUACUGCGAAGGGGGGACGGAGAAGGCUAUGUUGGCCGGGCGACGGUUGUCCCGGUUUAAGCGUGUAGGUGUGUGUUCCAGGUAAAUCCGGUUCACUUUAACACUGAGGCGUGACGACGAGGCACUACGGUGCUGAAGCAACAAAUGCCCUGCUUCCAGGAAAAGCCUCUAAGCAUCAGGUAACAUCAAAUCGUACCCCAAACCGACACAGGUGGUCAGGUAGAGAAUACCAAGGCGCUUGAGAGAACUCGGGUGAAGGAACUAGGCAAAAUGGUGCCGUAACUUCGGGAGAAGGCACGCUGACACGUAGGUGAAGUGAUUUACUCAUGGAGCUGAAGUCAGUCGAAGAUACCAGCUGGCUGCAACUGUUUAUUAAAAACACAGCACUGUGCAAACACGAAAGUGGACGUAUACGGUGUGACGCCUGCCCGGUGCCGGAAGGUUAAUUGAUGGGGUCAGCGCAAGCGAAGCUCCUGAUCGAAGCCCCGGUAAACGGCGGCCGUAACUAUAACGGUCCUAAGGUAGCGAAAUUCCUUGUCGGGUAAGUUCCGACCUGCACGAAUGGCGUAAUGAUGGCCAGGCUGUCUCCACCCGAGACUCAGUGAAAUUGAACUCGCUGUGAAGAUGCAGUGUACCCGCGGCAAGACGGAAAGACCCCGUGAACCUUUACUAUAGCUUGACACUGAACAUUGAGCCUUGAUGUGUAGGAUAGGUGGGAGGCUUUGAAGUGUGGACGCCAGUCUGCAUGGAGCCGACCUUGAAAUACCACCCUUUAAUGUUUGAUGUUCUAACGUGGACCCGUUACCCGGGUUGCGGACAGUGUCUGGUGGGUAGUUUGACUGGGGCGGUCUCCUCCUAAAGAGUAACGGAGGAGCACGAAGGUUGGCUAAUCCUGGUCGGACAUCAGGAGGUUAGUGCAAUGGCAUAAGCCAGCUUGACUGCGAGCGUGACGGCGCGAGCAGGUGCGAAAGCAGGUCAUAGUGAUCCGGUGGUUCUGAAUGGAAGGGCCAUCGCUCAACGGAUAAAAGGUACUCCGGGGAUAACAGGCUGAUACCGCCCAAGAGUUCAUAUCGACGGCGGUGUUUGGCACCUCGAUGUCGGCUCAUCACAUCCUGGGGCUGAAGUAGGUCCCAAGGGUAUGGCUGUUCGCCAUUUAAAGUGGUACGCGAGCUGGGUUUAGAACGUCGUGAGACAGUUCGGUCCCUAUCUGCCGUGGGCGCUGGAGAACUGAGGGGGGCUGCUCCUAGUACGAGAGGACCGGAGUGGACGCAUCACUGGUGUUCGGGUUGUCAUGCCAAUGGCACUGCCCGGUAGCUAAAUGCGGAAGAGAUAAGUGCUGAAA
This 2759-nucleotide ribosomal RNA is filed under the name Salmonella enterica subsp. enterica serovar Enteritidis. Its description in RNAcentral is "partial 23S ribosomal RNA". It matches the Rfam family "Bacterial large subunit ribosomal RNA". Lineage: Bacteria; Pseudomonadati; Pseudomonadota; Gammaproteobacteria; Enterobacterales; Enterobacteriaceae. The record is from RNAcentral.